Molecule: long non-coding RNA, 1581 nt
Organism: Anguilla rostrata (American eel)
Lineage: Eukaryota; Metazoa; Chordata; Actinopteri; Anguilliformes; Anguillidae
Exons: 6
Source: RefSeq, a predicted model, not a curated record
GAGGGAUUUCUGUUUCUUCUGAAUAUGUAGGUUACUAUACGAUACUUUUCGUUUAAUUUACUUUAAUUUUACGAUUAUCAUCUGUUACCUAUCCUUCUCGGUCUGUUUGGAGCCUUCUGGUUUAGUGCAACACAAACUGGCGUAAACGAAUCAUAUCUAUGAAAUUCAAAUGAAACGAAUCAAUUGGGACUUUGCAAUCAGGUGCAACGUACCGUAUUCGUGUUGAAAUUCCCUGGUAGUAGUACCAAGUUCUAUUUGUUUGGCACUACGGUCAAACACACAUAUCGGUGCUCCGCACCGAUCCCUCAUACGCCACAGAGUCAAGAGUGGAGGAUGUGAUGGGCCAGCAGAGGAGGACAGAUGGAAGUGCUGACCUGUUGGGAACGUGGACGUAACCUCUGCCUCAGGACCUGUCCCCUUAAACCCCCCAGAAAAUCUUCUUCGGUCCUGGAGCCAACAAACAUCCAAAAAGUUUGCAGGAGGAGAGGAGUGCCGGGGACCUGACGUGGAUCUGGUAGUGACAAGAAAGAUGGGACAGGCAGGAGGGUGCGUCCUUUGAACCUCAAGACCACGGUGAGGCCUGGACUUCUGACGAGGCGUCUCGGCCUGCGUUCCUUCCCAAGGUCAGCCGUUCCUGCGGGGUCCUCCACGCUCACAGAGCACAUUGAGAUGGCUUGCCUUGACACAGCUGUGGAGGACAGUGAUUCUUCGGCACUGAAGAGGAAACGCGAUUACCAGAGAGACAGAGACAUCCACCCAGCAAGUGAGGAGCAAGAUUGGACUUGCGGAAGGAACGAGGGACAUGGGGGAAAAAGAAGAAGGGUCAAAAAGCAGAAGGAUGCCUUCUCUUUGUGUGAGGGGAAGAGAAAAUACAUGUAUACCCACUUUAACCUGACCCCCCCCCCCUACCCCCAAGCCUUUGGUCCAUCAAUGUCCUGUUAGAGAGGUCCAGUAGUUAUAGUUCAGACUUCGGCUGCAGCUACCGCUCUAUCUCCCUGCCCCGCCUUCAAGAUCACCCCUCCCACACGCUACCCCACCUGCCUGCCCUGGCUAACACAAGCCGACACAUCAUAAUAACAGUAAGAGGCCUUUCCCGUCCUAUGUCAUGCUCAGAGAGAUUAGUUCCCCUUCACAAAACCAAGGUAAUUUUCUUUGGGCUGAAACACUACAGUUUGGGGUUAACUACUUAUUGCAGCCUGAGAGGAACCUUCAAAUCUCCAGGGAACUAGCAGCUUCCAUUUUGUUUUAAGUGAAGUCUUUCCUAUGAAAAUAUAUUUGUUUGUACCCACAUUCCAAUAGAGUUUUGUCUUAUUGAUUGUGCAACCUCACAUGAGCUGUGUGCUCUUUGCUUCUUCCGUUCACCCUGGAUUUUUGCCUUCAUUGUCAACUUUAUUCCCACACUCAGAGUUUGAAAACUAAUAGCAAAAAAUGUCAACCAGCAGAUUCACACACUACCCCAUGCAUUUAUUACUGGUGAGGAUAGGUCAGUUGCAGUCUGCUAUAAUUGGCACUAGUUACAAUGCCCAGCCGUAGUCCUUGUAGUGUACAGUAACUGUCCAGGAGCUUCUCCCCUGAGUAAUG